Rhopalosiphum padi (bird cherry-oat aphid) is the source of this 381-nucleotide long non-coding RNA. RefSeq lists it as uncharacterized. The record is from RefSeq and is a predicted model, not a curated record. The transcript is spliced from 2 exons. NCBI's taxonomy places the organism in Eukaryota, Metazoa, Arthropoda, Insecta, Hemiptera, Aphididae.
AAUACAGCAGAUGACUCAAGGAAUGCUUAGACAUUUAUUUGUAUGCAUACAACUUUGGGAAAGUAUGAACAUCCAAUGUUGAAAAUGAACUAAAAGAUACUGAUUAUAAAGAAUUUAUGCAAUGUACGUGUAAUGGUUAUUAGAUGGCAGUAUAUCAGAUCAAUCAAGGCAUGCUGAGACACGAAUUCACAUUUCUACCACUAAGGAGAGUAUCAACAUCCUAGGUUGAAAAUGGACUAGAAGAUACUGAUAAUAAUAUUGGAUUUAUGCAAUGGUUAUUGAAUAUAAUUUGGUUAUUGAAUAUAAUUGAUACUAAAUUAAUAGCUGUGAAACAAUUGAGAUUUGUUAAAUAUCUGAAUAAAAUAAUAGUAAACAACUUUA